Molecule: ribosomal RNA, 426 nt
Filed under: uncultured Bacteroidota bacterium
Lineage: Bacteria; Pseudomonadati; Bacteroidota
Description: bacterial SSU rRNA
Rfam family: Bacterial small subunit ribosomal RNA
Source: RNAcentral
GGGGAAUUUUGGACAAUGGGGGAAACCCUGAUCCAGCCAUCCCGCGUGUGCGAUGAAGGCCUUCGGGUUGUAAAGCACUUUUGGCAGGAAAGAAACGUCGCGGGUUAAUACCCUGCGAAACUGACGGUACCUGCAGAAUAAGCAUCGGCUAACUCCGUGCCAGCAGCCGCGGUAAUACGGAGGAUGCAAGCGUUAUCCGGAUUUAUUGGGUUUAAAGGGAGCGUAGGCGGACUAUUAAGUCAGCUGUGAAAGUUUACGGCUCAACCGUGAAAUUGCAGUUGAAACUGGUCGUCUUGAGUGCAGUAAAGGUGGGCGGAAUUCGUGGUGUAGCGGUGAAAUGCUUAGAUAUCACGAAGAACUCCAAUUGCGAAGGCAGCUCACUGGAGUGUAACUGAUGCUGAUGCUCGAAAGUGUGGGUAUCAAACA